This 220-nucleotide unclassified non-coding RNA is filed under the name Hevea brasiliensis (rubber tree). Lineage: Eukaryota; Viridiplantae; Streptophyta; Magnoliopsida; Malpighiales; Euphorbiaceae. The record is from RNAcentral.
ACCAAGAAUAGCUCCUAAAAAUAGACCAUCAGGUUUCAGCGCCAAUCUGCACUGUAUCAUGGCUCCAGGAAGGUCAUUUGUCCAGUGAAGUCCCAAGCAACUGAUUACCAAAUCUAAUGAACUUUCUUUUAUGGGCAGAAACUCUUCAUCACCGACAAUAAAGGAUGUUUCAAUAUUUUUAUUUGCAUCUUCCUUUGCAUCUUCACACAAUUUAAUCAUG